This 412-nucleotide ribosomal RNA is filed under the name uncultured bacterium. Its description in RNAcentral is "bacterial SSU rRNA". It matches the Rfam family "Bacterial small subunit ribosomal RNA", at positions 42 to 499 of the family's 1533-position model. The record is from RNAcentral.
GCACGCCUAACACAUGCAAGUCGAACGAAGUAGCAAUACUUAGUGGCAGACGGGUGAGUAACAUGUGGGUAUCUACCCUUUGGCCUGGAAUAACACGAGGAAACUUGUGCUAAUACCGGAUAAGUCUUUACGGAGAAAGCUUUAUGCACCAUUGGAUGAGCCUGCACUUGAUUAGUUUGUUGGUGGGGUAAUGGCCUACCAAGACUAUGAUCAAUAGCUGAUUUGAGAGGAUGAUCAGCCACAUUGGGACUGAGACACGGCCCAAACUCCUACGGGAGGCAGCAGUGGGGAAUCUUGCACAAUGGAGGAAACUCUGAUGCAGCGAUGCCGCGUGAGUGAAGAAGGCCCUUGGGUUGUAAAGCUCUUUCGUCGGGGAAGAAAAUGACUGUACCCGAAUAAGAAGGUCCGGCUA